Long non-coding RNA from Hydra vulgaris (swiftwater hydra), 848 nucleotides. RefSeq lists it as uncharacterized. The record is from RefSeq and is a predicted model, not a curated record. Lineage: Eukaryota; Metazoa; Cnidaria; Hydrozoa; Anthoathecata; Hydridae.
UUCGGUAUAUAUUCGGUAAAGAUUAUAUUAUUAUAUUUUUAUUUCUUAAAUUAACCUUACACAACAUACUAUAAUCUACAUAUAAUUUGUUCAUGCUUAAUGCCGUUAGUUACUGAGUUACGAUUCUGUAAAAUUUUCAAAGACUUUAAAUGAAUGUUUAACGUCGUCAUUUUUCUGUUUUCUGUAUAAUAAACCUUUUUUUAAACUAUACACGUUGUUUGAAAAAGACCACAAGGUCGUUCAACUUUCAACAAGCUGUCUGUAAAUCAACAUAUUCCAAUAAUUACUAAAAAGAUGCGCCCAGUCAAAGUUCAAAUACCUACCGAAAUAAUGUUACUUGAUUUAUCUAUAGAUGUGAGUUAUUAUUGGAAACAUUUAGGAAGAAAACUUAAACUCCCUAACUCUAAAAUUGAAUCGAUAGAUAAAGAUCAUAUUAACUAUGGCAGUAUCGAUGAAAAAUCCUUUGCUAUGCUAUUAGAAUGGAAAGAAUUAACUCCUAAUGCCACAACGCAAAUUUUGUUUGAUGCUUUAAAAUCGUAUGGAAAAUUGGAAAUAGCAUUGAAGCAUUUUCCGCUAUAAAAUAUCUUGACGAAUUUAACUUGCUGCAACAAAGCAAAAAAAUAGCAAAAUAUGAAUGUAAAAAAACAAAGUUCUACAAUGAUAAAGAUCUAAACUGUGAAAUGUGACCGUUUAAGUUGGAUUGCAAAGCCCAAUUUUAGGAGCUUUUUAUUUCAAGUUUUAACAUAAUUUUUUUUAACGUUCUUUUUUCUUAUGGUAUAAGUGUAUAAAAAAGAAUAUUUAAAGUUUGUUCUUAGCUACGAAAACACUAUAAAAAUUUCUCUGCUUUA